This is an RNA transcript of Aegilops tauschii subsp. strangulata, 2822 nucleotides long. RefSeq lists it as uncharacterized. The record is from RefSeq and is a predicted model, not a curated record. Lineage: Eukaryota; Viridiplantae; Streptophyta; Magnoliopsida; Poales; Poaceae.
CCAACAGCGGAAGGCAUUCUUCCCCUCUCCGCUGAAUCAUCAUCAAAAAGAAAAGAAACGAGACCUUCCUCUCGAGUCUCGAGACGAACCCUAGAUCCUGAACCCUAGAUCCGAACUGACCUUCCGUCAGCUUCCUGUUCCGUGCGACAUGGAAGCUCGUCGGCGUCUUCAUCCGCCACCCGGUGCGGAGCUCUCCCGCCCUCAGCCUCGCUGGGUGAUGCUAGAUCGCUUCGUCCACUACAAGGCGUACGCUGGUGAGGCUGUUGCGGAGGAGGUAAUGGACGGCACGCAAUCGGCGAUCUCCUCCACCUGCACCAACAUAAGCAUCGCCGUCUCUCUCAGGGUUGCUGAACCGCCCGCUGUGUCCCGUCUCUACCUCCACUGGCCCGAGCGAUUCAUGACGGCGUCGUUGAGCCAGGUGAGUCAGCCGUUCAUCAUCGCGGCUCACGGCCGCUCCAUACUUUUCCAGGCGUAUGCCCCCUUCGUUGGAGAUAGAUGUCCGGCAUUCUACUAUUACCCCAUAGACUAUUUCCUCUACACAGCCUCUGGCUCAGAGAAGUCUCCUUGUCUCAUGCGACUCCCGCCUUGCUUCGAUGGUGGGGACAAGAACCCGGACGUGGAUUUGUACUUCCACCCGUACCGUCUCCAGCAGCUGCGAUCUAUGUGGCGUGAUGACAUUGGCCUCCUUUGCCGUGGCAAGGGGGAGUUCGUGGUGGCGCAGCUCACAUUUGGCGGCCAGCUCUGCGUGCUACACCGUAAACCUGGGGAGGAGGAGGGCGACAUGAAUUGGAGCGUUGAAAAUAUGCCCUUACCUGACGGCGAUGACAUCCCAAACCUGCUGUGUGGUUCGUGGCAAACGGACGCCGUCGUCCCCUAUGGUGGUUGUUACCUGUGCUGGGCGGAUUGCUACCUGGGCUUGCUUUUUGUCGGUGUCAUUGACAAGCGGACGAAGCCCCCGUGCUACGUCCCCUUACCUGAUGGUCUGGAUUCCAAUUGUCUGUGCAUUGACCCAGGGUAUCCUGACCCGGCCCGUCGUGUCUGUGUCUCUGAGUCCGGCUUGAUUAACCUCAUAUGUGUUGGUGAUCGUGCUGGCUGCAGUGUGUGUGCCAGUUCUUAUUCUGCUUUCACUAUCACAGUAUGGACUUUCACCAACUUAAGGGAAAAGAAAUGGAUGAAAUGUUUCACCAUGGAAGACAUCAAGUUCUGGGCUGCUCUUGAUUUUGACAAGCGUCUUCCGCAUGUGCUACCAGAGUUCCCUACCAUCAGCUUGGUUAAGCCUGAUGUUGUUUCCUUCCGGUUGAAUGGUGGUAAUAAACUUUUCUGGCUGAUUGAGAUUGACAUGAAGAAGGAAGUGCUGGGGUCAACCAGUCUCUACAUCUUUGAAGAAGAAGAAGAGAAAUGCUCCACUGACAUGGCCCACUGGAGAUCAUUUCCUGGCUACUCCUUUGUUCCCAGCCCGUUCACCCGAUACUUGGACCAGCAUGCCAUCAGAAGGAUUGCUCUGGUCGUGGCUUUAGUCUUGCGUGAGAUAGCGCUGUAUGGGCGGACGAUAUGUUCCGUCCCAUGCCGUCCGACCAGAUGCGUGACGGGACCAUGUCUUACUCUACUGCCGAGGCUGCAAGAUGGCACACACACGAGUACGCAUGGCCGUCUCACACGGGCGGAAUAGUUGAUUGAUGGUGAGGCCUGUUGAUGAUAGACACACGUUCAUCCAUCUUCACCGGCCCUAGCAGUCUUCCUACCCCAAGCCCCGGCGAUCACAGCUGUCGCAUUGACGACUCUGUCAGGUUGCAUAUAUGUUCGUCAGGUCAUGUAUCCACAAGAGCCGAUUCAACUAUAGGCCCCCAUAUGAACGGUCAACGCCUGUCAGAAUAAUGAGGUCGUGCUGCUAGCAAUCGAAUAUUUAUGGUCUCUUGACAGAGAUAAUAGAGACUAGAUACUGCAUCGGAGAUUUGUUAUGCAAAUGAUUGUACCGUGUUCUUUUAGAAAAUGCUACUAACAGUAGCACUCAGAGAAUGAUGUCAUCCACAACCUCUACACCGAAUGUAUCUUUUGGUCAACAAAUUUUGGGUAUAAAAGCUCAGUAGAGUUUCCGUAGCUCUUCAUGCAUGAGGCUUAUUGAUCAUUAUGUCUUUCACACAUAUUGGUAGGAUAGAAAUUGAAGCAUUGUGACCAUUCAUUUAUUUGAAUCAUUAUUUGAGACCAAGGGGACAUCUUUACCUUUUUGUUCAAUAUGCAGUGUACUCCAGUUCCACUUUCUGGUAUGCCAGUUCUUAAGCCUUUCCUCAAACCCCUCUUCCUAAGAUUGCUCAUUAUCAUAUUGUGUCUUGAGGUCUCAUAAACUCUAUUUGUAGCAUGCCUGUAUAUUUAGUUUUGGUGCUAUGACACUCUAAACCCUAAUUGUGCUUUACCAUGAUUUAUAUAUCAAACCGAGUUAUUAAAUUUUCAUGUUGUUUGCUCUUCUCUUAAGUUUGCCAAUUUGUGUUGUUUCAGGAUUUACUUCAGUAGACUAACAACUCUAUCUCUUCCCUUUUUAGGUGCACAACUCUUAUGUUCUGUUUGGCUACCUUUUUUAGACCAGCCAUAAGUGACCAUCAAAAUUACAAACUUGCUCAAGCACUUUCACCAAAAAAAACAUCCCUGGCUAUAGUAGUCAUUCUCUUGCAAUUUAAUUAAUUAUAUUCUUUCGUCGCACAAUAAGAAUUGUUGCUCUUUCAUAAGAAAUUAUUUAUUCAGUUUGGUUCCGUAUAGCACAUGAUUAACAUUUUUCCUUUUGGGGGGAGUAACCCAAGAUUAUCUUGAUUGAAAAUAUGUAUUUUGUA